GACGAACGCUGGCGGCGUGCUUAACACAUGCAAGUCGAACGGUAAACCUCUUCGGAGGGGAUCAGUGGCGAACGGAUGAGUAACACGUGGGCAACCUGCCCCCGGCUCUGGGAUAACUCCAAGAAAUUGGGGCUAAUACCGGACGUUUACCGCUUACCGCCUGGGUGGUGGUGGAAAGGGUUUUCGGCUGGGGAUUGGGCCGCGGCCCAUCCGCUUGUUGGUGGGGUAGUGGCCUACCAAGGCGACGACGGGUAGCCGGCCUGGGAGGGUGACCGGCCACACUGGGCCUGCGGCAGGGCCCAGACUCCAACGGGGGGCAGCGGUGGGGAAUAUGGCGCAAUGGGCGGAAGCCGGACGCAGCGACGCCCGGUGGGGGAUGACGGCCUUCGGGUUGAAAACCUCUUCCAGCAGGGACGAAGCGGUUGUGACGGUACCUGCAGAAGAAGCACCGGCUAACUACGUG
Molecule: ribosomal RNA, 463 nt
Filed under: uncultured bacterium
Lineage: Bacteria
Description: partial 16S ribosomal RNA
Rfam family: Bacterial small subunit ribosomal RNA
Source: RNAcentral